UGGUCGUCUCGUUAUUGGUUUAUAUCGGGUUCGCUCUUCUGCUUAUGGUCUGCCCGUUAACCCGUGUCGCUGCCUGUUUUUCCUCUUGACUUUGAAAUCUCCUGUUCGCUCUGUAGCUGUUUCAUCAGACGUUCAAACAGAGAUUUCGAGAGCAGGGGAGAGAGAGAGACGGCGAUUAUUUCCAUUCACAGCUCUCCUUCUCUUGUUGCUUCAGGUGUUCGGUUGUUGUUGUUCGCCCGCUGGUGGUUAGAAGUGCUCCUCCAACUGCUCUUCAAAUCCACUGGAAGGAUCCCUUGCUUGAAGUUUAGAUUGCUGCGGUCGGCUAGCUGCUGGUUGGAAUUUUCUCUUCCCAACGGCCUGUUGUUGUUCUUCAUCAAUUACUCUAUUUUCUAGAUCUGCGAGAUAUGGUCCUACAAUUCUGUGAGCCCGAUGAUGGCUGUGCUCUGUUGAAUCUGUGAGCUAUGGUCCUCGAAUUCUAGGUUGUUCAUCUACGUUGUGUUGCGUUUUGCUGUUCCCAUCCUUGUGUUUGGGUCAGGCUUUGUGCUUGUGCAUGUGUAAUGUUGGGGCAAUUCUAGAGUAUUGUCUGUAAUAUCUGUCUUUGAAGAGUUUGAUUUAACUUUAUAAGGUUAUUAUUAGUUCUUAUAUUUUACUUCC
Molecule: long non-coding RNA, 654 nt
Organism: Triticum aestivum (bread wheat)
Lineage: Eukaryota; Viridiplantae; Streptophyta; Magnoliopsida; Poales; Poaceae
Exons: 2
Source: RefSeq, a predicted model, not a curated record